This 1869-nucleotide long non-coding RNA is filed under the name Triticum aestivum (bread wheat). RNAcentral describes it as "long non-coding RNA (TAES_LNC028402)". Lineage: Eukaryota; Viridiplantae; Streptophyta; Magnoliopsida; Poales; Poaceae. The record is from RNAcentral.
UUUUAUUUUAUUUUGUGUAUUGCUUUUUUUUUUCGUUUCAUUGCACCUGGAUUUCGAGAACCCACUCUCCAUGUCGCUCUCCUGGAACGUUGCCACAACUUUCUCUCUACAAAUUUCUGAGGUGUGCCUGCUAUUUCUUUUUACAGUGGUUUCCCCUUGUAUUUAUUUGACUUCUCCGCACAGUUUUCCCUCCGAGAAAACAACAUCAAAUACAAGGGAAUUACGUGGAGGGAAUUGUAAUGGCCGAUUUGCAUGUUGCAACGCGUUUAUGUGCUGUGAUAAAAUGUCGAGAAUGUCCAGAAAAAUUAUGUGCCAUUUUGGGCCUAAUGGCCGAGUUGCAACGAACGGACUGUCAAGCCACCUUGGGCUAUAGCCCAGUUGAGCUACAACUCUCCUACCUACAAGAUCCAGAUACAUUUCCCUAAAAAAAAAAAACAAGAUCAGACACACCCACGAACUGUCCAAACCGGCAAACCCCCGCCCCCUCCCCAAAUCGCCAAUCACCCGCCGCCGCCGCCCAUGUCUCCGUCGUCCUCCGACGACGAGGCCGCGAUCUCCUCCGUCUCGUCCGAGGAAGACGACAUCAGCCUGCCGUCAUCGCCUUCCCCGUCCCCCGAGCCCGCUCCCGCAGCCAAGAAGCCGCGACGACCCCGGAGCGGCACGGGAGGGCCGCCGCGAAGCUGGCCGACCGCGGACGAGGUGGUCCUCCUGGAGGCCGUCGUCGCGCACCAGGAGCGGCACGGCCAGCUCCCCUCCCGCGACGACCUCGCGACCGCCCUCGCCGGCCGCAUCCGGUUCAGCGGCGAGCAGGCCGCCAGGCGCGUGGACUCCCUGCGCCACCGCUACUACGGCUCCGUCCGGCGGCUCUCCCGCGGCACCGUCCCCGUCACGGACGACGACAUGAGGGUCUACAAGCUCUCCAAGCGCCUCUGGGAGGGCACGGUGGCGGAGAGGGCGCGGCGCCGGGAGCAUCGCGCCGCCGACAAGGCCGCGAGGCGCCACCACGAGCGGAGGGGCUUCGCCGAGCUCGAGGCGCUCUACCCCUGCCUCGCCGCGGAGGUGGAGGCGAUCGCGUCGCGGCGGCCCUGCGGCGGGGUGCUCAAGACGGCGUUCGGGCUGAUCGGCGACGAGAGGGCGGCGACGCUGGAGGCCAGGGUCAGGAAGCAGCGGCGCGCGGAGCUGAAGGCCGGGAUGAAGCGGGCCGAGCUGAGGGGCCAGGUGGCCAGGACGCUACUCGAGUUCAUCGAAUGAUUUGGUUUCCUUCCAGCAAAAAAAAUUAGUGAUUUUUUCGUUGCUGGCAGUAGCACUAGCACAUGGUUAUUACUGUUACUGAUUUCUCAAAUGAAAAACAUGAAGUGGGAUGGAUUACUACCGAUUUACCGCUGCAUCAAGAUCUCAUUUACACAGUAUGAAAUAGGGCAUUUUCAAUUGGUAAGUAAUAUAAUUACACAUCACGCUUUGAAAUUCGGCAAAUUGGAGUUUUAUUUCCAAGUUCCGACACAUAUAAGGAGUUCAUCUGUACACUGAAAACGAUGACAUCCGAUCCAAGGACUAGCAGCAAGCCUAAAUCUUGCACCUCCUGGAGCAAUAGCACAUAAGCUCUUUGAUUCUGAGAUGUGACAAGAAAUAGCUGAGCUUUACUGGUGCCACAACACCCUGAGCACCGGCCGGUUUGAAUGGCGUCAGGCGACCUUGCGGCUCCCUUAUUUCAGGAACUACAUAAAAGGCAGAGACAACAUCCCGAGGUCCGAGGACGUUUGUGCUCGGUGCUCAUUGAUCACUCACCAAGAAAGCAUUAGCAUCGGCUUUACUGGGUGGGCUUAGCUCCCGCUCAAUCUCUUCCAGGGAUCGCCCCUUGGUCUCGACCAC